GCCGAAUAUCCAAGGUUUCCAGGGUAAAGCUGAUCUGCCCUGGGUGAGUCGGGGCCUAAGGCGAGGACGAGAGUCGUAGCCGAUGGACAACAGGUGGAGAUUCCUGUACUGCGGUAUGACAGAACUGUGGGGACACGUAAGGAAAGCGGAAGCCGGGAAUGGAAAGCCCGGUGCAAGCAGGGUACCAGUGCGGAAGGCAAAUCCGCCGCACAAUGGGAAGCUGUGAAGCGGAGCGAAAUAAAGUAGCGAAGUCCGUGAGCCAUGCGUCAAGAAAAGCCGCUAUUGUUUGUACCGUACCCGUACCGUAAACCGACACAGGUGGAUGAGGAGAGAAUCCUAAGGCCGGCGGAAGAAGCAUUGUCAAGGAACUCGGCAAAAUGGCCCCGUAACUUAGGGAUAAGGGGUGCCUGUGGAAACAGGCCGCAGAGAAUAGGCUCAAGCAACCGUUUAGCAAAAACACAGGUCUAUGCGAAACCGAAAGGUGAGGUAUAUGGGCUGACGCCUGCCCGGUGCUGGAAGGUUAAGAGGAGAGGUCAGAGCAAUCGAAGCCUUGAAUUUAAGCCCCAGUAAACGGCGGCCGUAACGAUAACGGUCCUAAGGUAGCGAAAUACCUUGUCGGGUAAGUUCCGACCCGCACGAAAGGCGUAAUGAUUUGAGCGCUGUCUCGACAAUGCAUCCGGUGAAAUUGAAGUACCAGUGAAGAUGCUGGUUACCCGCGCCAGGACGGAAAGACCCCAUGGAGCUUUACUCCAGUUUGGUACUGGGAUCCGGUAUUGCAUGUACAGGAUAGGUGGGAGGCAGAGAAUGUGCAGCGCCAGCUGCACAGGAGCCGCUGUUGGGAUACCACCCUUGCAGUAUUGGGUUUCUAACCAGCCGCCGUGAACCGGCGGUGGGACAAUGCCAGACGGGGAGUUUGACUGGGGCGGUCGCCUCCGAAAGGGUAUCGGAGGCGCCCAAAGGUUCCCUCAGGAUGGACGGAAACCAUCCAAGGAGUGCAAAGGCAGAAGGGAGCUUGACUGUGACACCGACGGGUGGAACAGGUACGAAAGUAGGGCUUAGUGAUCCGGUGGUAUUAAGUGGGAAUGCCAUCGCUCAACGGAUAAAAGCUACCCUGGAUAACAGGCUUAUCACUCCCAAGAGUUCACAUCGACGGAGUGGUUUGGCACCUCGAUGUCGGCUCAUCGCAUCCUGGGGCUGUAGUAGGUCCCAAGGGUUGGGCUGUUCGCCCAUUAAAGCGGUACGCGAGCUGGGUUCAGAACGUCGUGAGACAGUUCGGUCCCUAUCCGGCGUGGGCGUAGGAUAUCUGAAGGGAGCUAUCCUCAGUACGAGAGGACCGGGAUGGACGGACCGCUGGUGUACCGGUUGAGCAGCCAGGCUCAUGGCCGGGUUGCCAAGUCCGGAAGGGAUAAACGCUGAAGGCAUCUAAGCGUGAAGCCCCCCCUGAGAUGAGAUAUCCCAUUCGAAAGGAGUAAGACCCCUUGAAGACGACGAGGUAGAUAGGCUGGAGAUGGAAGUGCAGUAAUGUACGGAGUUGACCAGUACUAAUCGGUCGAGGGCUUGACCA
RNAcentral lists this ribosomal RNA (1564 nucleotides) under metagenome. Its description in RNAcentral is "bacterial LSU rRNA". It matches the Rfam family "Bacterial large subunit ribosomal RNA", at positions 1336 to 2925 of the family's 2925-position model. The record is from RNAcentral.